GUCCAACUCACAUUUUUCAAAAGAGGAAACUGAGGGGGCAGCUGGGUGGCUCAGUGGAUUGAGAGCCAGGCCUAGAGACGGGAGGUCCUAGGUUCAAAUCUGGCCUCAGACACUUCCCAGCUGUGUGACCCUGGACAAGUCACUUGACCCUCAUUGUCUAGCCCUUACCACUCUUCUGCCUUAGAACCAAUACCCAGCAUUGACUCCAAGACGGAAGGUAGGGGUAUAAAAAAAUUUUUUUAAAAGAGGAAACCGAGGUCAGGAAAGAGAAAAUGGCUUGCCAGCGAGAUCUAAAACCUAGAUCUCCCCAUUCCCAGGGCAGGUUCUUUUUCCCGACCAACCCUGUCCCCCAGAGAUCCACAGUCUCAUAGAAUGUGAGACCUGGAAGGAAUCGUGGAACAUCGACUAGAAGAUGCUUUGGAACAAGGAUGUGGGGCCUGGAAAUUCUGUCAGAGCUGGAAGAAGCCUCCCUGGUCAGCCCGUCGAGCCCCACAUUUUGUGAGUGGGGAAACGGGGGCCUAAAGGCCAAAUGCCUUGCCCAAAGUCACCCAGACUAGCUGGAAUUGAAAUAUAUGACACCACGCAGGAACGAAAGGAAGAGAGGCCUUGGGCUGGGGUGGAAAGAAGGCUGGCCUGGGAGUCAGGAGACCCGGACUUGGAUCUCUGGCCUCUGACACCUACUAGCUGACUGACCUUGGACAAGGCCCUUUCCAUCUCUGCACCGGAUCAUCCUCAUCUGGAAACAGAGCCACUUGUAUUAUCUAACUCAUGCAGCUAUUGUGACAAAAGCACUUUAUAAGCCUAAAUUUAGCACUAGAGAAAUAGGGGUAGUUCAGGAAGCUAGGUAGCACAGUGGAUAAAGCUCCAAGGCCAGAACUGGGAGGACCUGAGUUCCAAUUUGGUCUUAGACUCUUCUUAGUGGUGUGACCCUGGUUAAGACACUUAAUCCCAUUGCACAACCCUUGCCACUCUUUUGUCUUAGAAUCAAUCCUAAAACAUAAGAUAAGGGAGGGACAGAGAGGGAAGAG
RNAcentral lists this long non-coding RNA (1028 nucleotides) under Monodelphis domestica (gray short-tailed opossum). Its description in RNAcentral is "lncRNA (ENSMODG00000045703.1)". Lineage: Eukaryota; Metazoa; Chordata; Mammalia; Didelphimorphia; Didelphidae. The record is from RNAcentral.